Molecule: ribosomal RNA, 497 nt
Filed under: uncultured bacterium
Lineage: Bacteria
Description: partial 16S ribosomal RNA
Rfam family: Bacterial small subunit ribosomal RNA
Source: RNAcentral
GAUGAACGCUGGCGGCGUGCCUAAUACAUGCAAGUCGAGCGAACAGACGAGGAGCUUGCUCCUUUGACGUUAGCGGCGGACGGGUGAGUAACACGUAGGUAACCUACCUAUAAGACUGGGAUAACUUCGGGAAACCGGAGCUAAUACCGGAUAAUAUUUCGAACCGCAUGGUUCGAUAGUGAAAGAUGGCUUUGCUAUCACUUAUAGAUGGAUCCGCGCCGUAUUAGCUAGUUGGUAAGGUAACGGCUUACCAAGGCAACGAUACGUAGCCGACCUGAGAGGGUGAUCGGCCACACUGGAACUGAGACACGGUCCAGACUCCUACGGGAGGCAGCAGUAGGGAAUCUUCCGCAAUGGGCGAAAGCCUGACGGAGCAACGCCGCGUGAGUGAUGAAGGUCUUCGGAUCGUAAAACUCUGUUAUUAGGGAAGAACAAACGUGUAAGUAACUAUGCACGUCUUGACGGUACCUAAUCAGAAAGCCACGGCUAACUACGUG